Molecule: ribosomal RNA, 253 nt
Filed under: uncultured bacterium
Lineage: Bacteria
Description: partial 16S ribosomal RNA
Rfam family: Bacterial small subunit ribosomal RNA
Source: RNAcentral
GACGUAGGGGGCCAGCGUUGUUCGGAAUUACUGGGUGUAAAGGGUUCGUAGGCGGUGUGGCAAGUUGGGAGUGAAAUCUCUGGGCUUAACCCAGAGGCUGCUUCCAAAACUGCUGUGCUUGAGUGUGGGAGAGGCGCGUGGAAUUGCAGGUGUAGCGGUGAAAUGCGUAGAUAUCUGCAGGAACACCCGUGGCGAAAGCGGCGCGCUGGACCACUACUGACGCUGAGGAACGAAAGCUAGGGGAGCAAACAGG